This 165-nucleotide ribosomal RNA is filed under the name uncultured bacterium. RNAcentral's name for it is "partial 16S ribosomal RNA". It matches the Rfam family "Bacterial small subunit ribosomal RNA", at positions 354 to 511 of the family's 1533-position model. The record is from RNAcentral.
GUAGGGAAUCUUCCACAAUGGACGAAAGUCUGAUGGAGCAACGCCGCGUGAGUGAAGAAGGGUUUCGGCUCGUAAAGCUCUGUUGGUAGUGAAGAAAGAUAGAGGUAGUAACUGGCCUUUAUUUGACGGUAAUUACUUAGAAAGUCACGGCUAACUACGUGCCAG